GAGGGUAUAGCUCAAGUGGUAGAGUGUAUGCUUAGCAUGCACGAGGUCCUGGGUUCAAUGCCCAAUACUUCCG
RNAcentral lists this transfer RNA (73 nucleotides) under Camelus bactrianus (Bactrian camel). It matches the Rfam family "tRNA". From Rfam's summary of the family: Transfer RNA (tRNA) molecules are approximately 80 nucleotides in length. Their secondary structure includes four short double-helical elements and three loops (D, anti-codon, and T loops). Lineage: Eukaryota; Metazoa; Chordata; Mammalia; Artiodactyla; Camelidae. The record is from Rfam by way of RNAcentral. RNAcentral also lists the same sequence under 1 other name.